GAAGUUCUGCUGCUUUGUGUCAAAUUUACCUUUACAAAUGACACAUUAAGACAUUUAAUAAAGCUAGGAACCUCAGCAUAGCCUGGUCAUAUCUGAUAUUGGUCAAUUGAUGUGUCCUAAGUGACUUCCUUUCCAGUCGGUUCACUACAGCUGGGAGAAAGUGCGACACUGUUGGACUUCAGCUGAGUAAACAUUCCCCACCGAGGCCAGAGAUCUUGUGUACACACAGGGCACAGCGCACGUUCUGCGAGGGGCCUCGCAGCCGCCACAAGGAUGGAUGGUCUAACCAGGCCAGAGUCCAUGUGGGCACAGCAGUCAGAAUAUGACAAGAGACCACCCCAUCUGCUGAAACCAUUAAGCUCUGACGAACAGAUACCAGCUCGGGCUAGGCUGUGGUUGUAGCGCUUCCACACCGCUUGCCUCCUUAUACACACCCACACACAUGUUUUUUGCAAAGAUGCAUACACACGGUUAUGCAAUCCUCAGACCGCCUAUGAAGGAAAUAGACUCGAUGGUGCUUGAAAGAGAUAGAGAGUGAAUUCACUGAGAGGGAUUGAGUGAAGUGUGGUAACAGGACACCCACAAGACACCUAAAGACCAGCAGUGACAGUCUCGCACACAUGCAUGUAAGACCGUAGCUAAUGAUAAACCUCUGUGAUGGCGGAUGUGAUAGAGAUAAUUCAUUUUCCUUUGCCAAAAUCAAAGUCAUUUUUCCUGUAUUUGAAAGGAGAUAUCGGGGCUAGUCAUUAGUGCCAGUUAGCCCAGGGGAUGCAGAGAGUAACUGUGAUUUGUCUGUAUUAACCCUCCUUACAGGAGCUCAUGUUGCUGCUGCCAGUUGACUCAUGGAUCCUGAUAUGAGAGGCAUAGAUCCAAAAUUUCUUUGGUUCAGGGCAAUUGUUUCAGUGCCCGCCCAUUUCGUGUCUUUUUUUGGCAUUUCACUUUAUUUUGACAGUACAGUUGAGAAAGACAGGAAAGGCAGAGGAUAGAGGGGCAAUGACAUGAAACAAGGGGCUUGGGUUAGACUUAUACCCAGAGUCUGCUUUGAUACGUGGUACAUGCUCUAACAUGUCCUCCAAAUUAAAGCUCCUCUCACACUCUCUCCCCUUCUGUCUGCUGGUCAACUGCCAUGGUGAAGGCGGUUACAAUGGCCGGCUACGAAGAACCAUAAAUCUGGACACUUCCUACCACUGUCUCCCACUUCAAGGGGAAGCCUGUCCUGUUGCAAACAUGAUUAACCCUCUUCCUCUCUGUCCACACACCGUCCAACCUCCUCACCCCAACAAGUGGCCAUGCUACAGGGAAAAACAGGGCCGUCCUUGAUACCGCAGAGGCAGGGAACCCUCCAGAUUUGCUAAUAAAACAUAGCCUUUGUAUUGGACCUAUAAAGACUGUAUGCAGGGGUGGAAAUUAACUUUUUGGCUUAACUGCCAAGGUGGCUGGUAGAUGAAAAAAUCUACUAGCCAAAUAUAUUUUGUACUGGCCAAAAUAAUAAAUUGCCUUCUGUGUCACAUA
Micropterus salmoides (largemouth bass) is the source of this 1512-nucleotide long non-coding RNA. RefSeq lists it as uncharacterized. The record is from RefSeq and is a predicted model, not a curated record. NCBI's taxonomy places the organism in Eukaryota, Metazoa, Chordata, Actinopteri, Centrarchiformes, Centrarchidae. The transcript has 2 exons.